Molecule: non-coding RNA, 3493 nt
Organism: Xyrichtys novacula (pearly razorfish)
Lineage: Eukaryota; Metazoa; Chordata; Actinopteri; Labriformes; Labridae
Source: the annotation of a GenBank genome assembly
GCUUUGGGUUACACAACACACAACCGCCCGCUGAGCCACAGACAGCGUUAGCCCGGUCCAGCCCAAAUCAUGCAGAACACCCACAAUGCAUCCCCGCCCCUGACCUGCCCAAACUCUACCGGGUGUCCUGCACCGAGCCGGGAUCUGAGCUACCGGGAUGAAGGUGAGGAGGAACUGUGCAGAGCUUUAUCUCAUAAAAAUGCAUCGUAAAACGUGGUGUCAGUGAUUCAAUAAGGAUGAAACUCAAAUUAGAAAAACAAACGCGGCUCAUCCUACGUAAAGAAAAUCAAAACAAGCAACAAUCUGAACUAUGCAGUUCACACAAAGUGCAUGUUGGCAUCAUAACUGUAAUUUACACGAGCACUUCGAGUCACACAGACUCUGCUCGGCAGCCAAACAAGAAGUAAAAGUCAAAAUUGUAUACCAGUAUGUGUAUAUAAUUACAGACAUGAGCCUAGUUUUUGUUGCGAUCUCAUGAAACAUUCAUAGGACAGCUGAGGAAGCGCACGUCUGAAUGCCACAUGCAUGAAUCUGCAGAGCGUUUUAUCACAGUAUCGGUCAGAUAAAUAGAGACAGCUCCAGAGUGUGUCUCAAAUAUGCUAUACAUGUUAAACAUACAGCACAGAUAAAAUUUCAGUCCUCUCAGACCCAUGGUGCAGAAGAAUAAACUAUAAGAAUUAAACUAUAAAAGUAUAAAUAUAGAAUAAACAACUAAGCUAAACUAAAGACUAUCUUAAAUACUCACAUCAAUUUACAAAAUAAAGAUAACAAUAUAAACAGCAUAACAGUAUAAACAGUGAGCAGUAUAAAUAUAAGGAGUAAGGUGAGUGGAAGAACGUGAAUGUAAACAGUAUGGCAGUCCUGAAGUGGACAUAAUGGUGCAUAUAUGGCAAUAAGGAUGCGAUAGUGCAAAUAAAUGUAAUACAGUAGUAAUAAUGGUGCAAUGAUGAGGAUAAAGUGAAAGUGUGCAGUCCUGUGGUUGGUGUGUUUGUGCCUUUUGUUUCAAUAAAACAAAAAGGCCUUAUAGAGUCAGUGUGCGGACAUGAUUGACCAACCAGGAGAUUCAAAUCAAAGUGCAAAGGCCUUAAAGGGAUAUUCGGCGUAAAUUUAAGCUAUGGUCAAAUACACCGUAACACCGAGUUAGACACCCCCUUGAGAGAUGAAUGUUGCUGUUCUGAGCAUCAUUUGUGGCUAUAGAGUGGCGUUUUGGUCGAUGUUUGCGCAUGUAGACGUAGACCUCUGUGUAUUGCUAUCCUGCAGUCGUUACUAAAGUUGGUAUAACUAGAGAAGCAAGCGGUCAGCAACAUUCAUCUCUCGGUCUGUUUGACCCUAGCUUACAUUUACGCCGGAAUAUCCCUUUAACUUUCGUUUUUCGGGUAAAACUCUGCAGACUGAAGUCCAACUUUCAUGUCAUCUCAGCUUAAAAAGUUUUCUCUCUUUUCUGUUUUAAUCCCAGUUUGCAAACAUUUUAGCGGACGGUUAUUCUUUAAACCAAGUGAGACUCUGUCUUGUGUUUACCAUCUUUGCAGGGCGCUGUAUGUGAGUUUCCUUUGUGUAUGAGUCACCUCUCAGCUGUUUAGAUGCUCCAUUGUUACACUCAGCAUCUGCAGCCUCGCUCAUCCUAACCCUAACCCAAAAACUAACAGCAGAGAAGUUUGUAAAUGUCCGUCUUUAAAUCUACUCGUGUGUGUUUCUCUUUAGUCUACCGUCAAACAUUGCAACUUGUCUGCGCUGUAUGUGAGGUCCUCUUAUUGUGUAACUUUCUUGUUUUGUGCCAGCACCAAUUAAUGAAGUCACAUUCCUGGUGUACCACUUAGACUUGGCACGAGAACAUGAUCCUGACAACAGAGCAACAAUAAAAAAUAGAAAAAAGGAGAAGGAGCGAAGUCUGGUUCAAACUCACGAUCGCAGUUUUCGACCUGGAGCCAUAAAUGUCGACACCUUUUGACAGUUACCAUGGUAACCACAGUCUGUUUUAUUAUCAUUUUAGACGCCUCCAGAUACUGACGAACGAUGAAGAGUGUGGCGUGUGUCUUCACCUGUGAUCCUCCACGGGAGAGUCGGUGCGGAGGAUUUGCAUGUUCAAACUUUAUCCAAUCUGGAUGCAUCAUUAAAAUGUAAGUCAGUGUAAACUGGAAACUACUGUGAGCUAUUCAGUCCAAGUCAGUUCACUAGAUAAACAGGCAGUCGGUGUAGCUGGAACAUACAGUAACCUGAAAAAAGGAGCAGAUUCAGAAAAAACAAUAAACAUUUACAACUUUGUCCACCUGAUGAGGCUUCUGAGCAAACAGCUACAUCCUGAGUAGCAAUCAGUCUGUCAGCAAAUCUGUGCACAACACUAUGGUGACCAUAUUCUGACUUCCCAAAAAGAGGACACAACUAUGUCAGGGCGGACUCAUGGAGUCACAUGAAGUUAAUUUUGAGAGUUUUUCGGUCGGAUCGAGUGUUUUUUAUGAACUUCUAACUCAGUAAGUCCACAUAAUACAAAAUCGAAACUCUCGUACAAAACCGCGGACAUUUGAAGGAUAACAAACUUCCCCGGACAAAGCUGGACAACCCCGGACAGCCCCCAAAAACAAGGACAUGUAUGGUCACCCUACACAACACUUUAUCCUAAUGGAUGCGUUAUAGAAGAAAAUUGGUCCCUUACGAUGUGUACAAAUGGUCAAAACUGAUCUUGUAUCAAGCUUUAAGCAUCUUAAACUAUGCCAAUAAAAAUGGCCACUUUAUUAUGGGUGCUAAUGAGAUUUAAUGCCUUCUUGGACCAUCCUCAAGUGGACACUCAAAGAACUGCACCUUUAAUGUGUUUAUGCAUUGGUGUCAUUUUUUUCAGCACCAGAACAGACGGCUUUAUUUCGAACUUUUUUAACUAAAAAGAAGAUUUUCAACCAUCUUCAUACGUCCUCUUUGUGUUGUUGUGUCCUCUUUUUAGGGAUUCAGAAUACGGUCACCCUAUUUAACACAUGGUUCCCAUAUCAGUUUGCACAUCUUAGAUUGUGGACUCUAGUCUGGAGUACUCAUUUUAGUAUGAGUCAGUAUUAGGGUGACCCUAUUCUGAAUCCCCAAAAAGAGGACACUACUACCGGGGCAAAAUUUUGAGGGUUUUUUGGGUCGAGUGUUUUUUACACGCUUCUAACUCAGUAAGUCCACACAACACAAACUUCAAACUUGCAUACAAAACCCCGGACAUUUGAAGGAUUUCAUAAACCCCUGGACAAGGCUGGACAGCCCCCAAAAAGAGGACAUGUCUGGAUAAAAGAGGACGUAUCGUCACCCUUGUCAGUAUUUUACACUGUUAGCCUAGCUAACAGCUAACAUUGUUGGUAUAAUGUUGGAGUUUGGGAUGUAUUACUUGGAAGAAAAUCACUUUAAAUUCUUCAUUUUUGUUUGUCAAUAUUAAACAGAAUCUCAUGGGACGUUAAAUUAGAUAUUUUCCAUGCAUCGUUUUAAAUGGGUCACGUAUUAGCAUGCGAACAUUUCCCAUAAUUCAACC